AGAGUUUGAUCCUGGCUCAGAUUGAACGCUGGCGGAAUGCUUUACACAUGCAAGUCGAACGGCAGCACGGGAGCUUGCUCCUGGUGGCGAGUGGCGAACGGGUGAGUAACAUAUCGGAACGUAUCCAAUAAUGGGGGAUAACUAAUCGAAAGGUUGGCUAAUACCGCAUACGCCCUGAGGGGGAAAGCUGGGGAUCGUAAGACCUGGCGUUAAUGGAGCGGCCGAUAUCUGAUUAGCUAGUUGGUGAGGUAAAGGCUCACCAAGGCGACGAUCAGUAGCUGGUCUGAGAGGACGACCAGCCACACUGGAACUGAGACACGGUCCAGACUCCUACGGGAGGCAGCAGUGGGGAAUUUUGGACAAUGGGGGCAACCCUGAUCCAGCCAUUCCGCGUGAGUGAAGAAGGCCUUCGGGUUGUAAAGCUCUUUCGCAAGGGAAGAAAACUUAUCUUUUAAUACAGGAUGAGGCUGACGGUACCUUGAUAAGAAGCACCGGCUAACUACGUGCCAGCAGCCGCGGUAAUACGUAGGGUGCGAGCGUUAAUCGGAAUUACUGGGCGUAAAGCGUGCGCAGGCGGUCUUGAAGGUCAGAUGUGAAAUCCCCGGGCUCAACCUGGGAACUGCGUUUGAAACUCCAAGACUAGAGUAUGGCAGAGGGGGGUAGAAUUCCACGUGUAGCAGUGAAAUGCGUAGAGAUGUGGAGGAAUACCAAUGGCGAAGGCAGCCCCCUGGGUCAAUACUGACGCUCAUGCACGAAAGCGUGGGGAGCAAACAGGAUUAGAUACCCUGGUAGUCCACGCCCUAAACGAUGUCUACUAGUUGUUGGGAGAGUAAAAUCUCUAGUAACGCAGCUAACGCGUGAAGUAGACCGCCUGGGGAGUACGGUCGCAAGAUUAAAACUCAAAGGAAUUGACUGGGGCCCGCACAAGCGGUGGAUUAUGUGGAUUAAUUCGAUGCAACGCGAAAAACCUUACCUGGCCUUGACAUGCUACUAACGAAGCAGAGAUGCAUUAGGUGCCCGAAAGGGAAAGUAGACACAGGUGCUGCAUGGCUGUCGUCAGCUCGUGUCGUGAGAUGUUGGGUUAAGUCCCGCAACGAGCGCAACCCUUGCCAAUAAUUGCCAUCAUUUAGUUGGGCACUUUAUUGGGACUGCCGGUGACAAACCGGAGGAAGGUGGGGAUGACGUCAAGUCCUCAUGGCCCUUAUGGCCAGGGCUUCACACGUAAUACAAUGGUCGGUACAGAGGGUUGCCAACCCGCGAGGGGGAGCCAAUCCCAGAAAGCCGAUCGUAGUCCGGAUUGAAGUCUGCAACUCGACUUCAU
RNAcentral lists this ribosomal RNA (1321 nucleotides) under metagenome. RNAcentral describes it as "bacterial SSU rRNA". It matches the Rfam family "Bacterial small subunit ribosomal RNA", at positions 8 to 1321 of the family's 1533-position model. The record is from RNAcentral.